GUGCUCACUUUGGCAGCACAUAUACUGGGAUUGGGAUGAUGCAGAGAAGAUUAACAUGGUCCCUGCACAAGGAUGACAUGCAAAUUUGUGAAGCAUUCCAUAUUAAA
Molecule: small nuclear RNA, 107 nt
Filed under: Dasypus novemcinctus (nine-banded armadillo)
Lineage: Eukaryota; Metazoa; Chordata; Mammalia; Cingulata; Dasypodidae
Source: RNAcentral